This 423-nucleotide ribosomal RNA is filed under the name uncultured bacterium. RNAcentral's name for it is "bacterial SSU rRNA". It matches the Rfam family "Bacterial small subunit ribosomal RNA", at positions 207 to 622 of the family's 1533-position model. The record is from RNAcentral.
AAGACCUUGCGCUUUUGGAGCGGCCGAUGCCUGAUUAGCUUGUUGGUAAGGUAAAAGCUUACCAAGGCUUCGAUCAGUAGCUGGUCUGAGAGGACGACCAGCCACACUGGGACUGAGACACGGCCCAGACUCCUACGGGAGGCAGCAGUGGGGAAUUUUGGACAAUGGGGGCAACCCUGAUCCAGCCAUGCCGCGUGAGUGAAGAAGGCCUUCGGGUUGUAAAACUCUUUCAGCCGGAACGAAACGGUUACGGUUAAUACCCGUGACUACUGACGGUACCGGAAGAAGAAGCACCGGCUAACUACGUGCCAGCAGCCGCGGUAGUACGUAGGGUGCGAGCGUUAAUCGGAAUUACUGGGCGUAAAGCGUGCGCAGGUGGUUUUGUAAGUCAGAUGUGAAAGCCCCGGGCUCAACCUGGGAACU